AUUGAACGCUGGCGGCAGGCCUAACACAUGCAAGUCGAACGGUAACAGGAAGAAGCUUGCUUCUUUGCUGACGAGUGGCGGACGGGUGAGUAAUGUCUGGGAAACUGCCUGAUGGAGGGGGAUAACUACUGGAAACGGUAGCUAAUACCGCAUAACGUCGCAAGACCAAAAAGGGGGACCUUCGGGCCUCUUGCCAUCGGAUGUGCCCAGAUGGGAUUAGCUAGUAGGUGGGGUAACGGCUCACCUAGGCGACGAUCCCUAGCUGGUCUGAGAGGAUGACCAGCCACACUGGAACUGAGACACGGUCCAGACUCCUACGGGAGGCAGCAGUGGGGAAUAUUGCACACUGGGCGAAAGCCUGAUGCAGCCAUGCCGCGUGUAUGAAGAAGGCCUUCGGGUUGUAAAGUACUUUCAGCGGGGAGGAAGGGAGUAAAGUUAAUACCUUUGCUCAUUGACGUUACCCGCAGAAGAAGCACCGGCUAACUCCGUG
This 490-nucleotide ribosomal RNA is filed under the name uncultured bacterium. Its description in RNAcentral is "partial 16S ribosomal RNA". It matches the Rfam family "Bacterial small subunit ribosomal RNA", at positions 30 to 507 of the family's 1533-position model. The record is from RNAcentral.